GUGUGCGUAAUUUAAAAAAAAUAUCAAGCUGUGACCGUGAUUAUAGGAGAUACUCCUCACACACC
This 65-nucleotide transfer RNA is filed under the name Hebius craspedogaster (Kuatun keelback). RNAcentral describes it as "tRNA-His". The record is from RNAcentral. Lineage: Eukaryota; Metazoa; Chordata; Lepidosauria; Squamata; Natricidae.